Molecule: ribosomal RNA, 254 nt
Filed under: uncultured bacterium
Lineage: Bacteria
Description: partial 16S ribosomal RNA
Rfam family: Bacterial small subunit ribosomal RNA
Source: RNAcentral
UACGAAGGGGGCUAGCGUUGCUCGGAAUCACUGGGCGUAAAGGGUGCGUAGGCGGGUCUUUUAAGUCAGGGGUGAAAUCCUGGAGCUCAACUCCAGAACUGCCUUUGAUACUGAAGAUCUUGAGUUCGGGAGAGGUGAGUGGAACUGCGAGUGUAGAGGUGAAAUUCGUAGAUAUUCGCAAGAACACCAGUGGCGAAGGCGGCUCACUGGCCCGAUACUGACGCUGAUGCACGAAGGCGUGGGGAGCAAACAGG